AGUGAACGCUGGCGGUAGGCCUAACACAUGCAAGUCGAACGGCAGCACAGUAAGAGCUUGCUCUUACGGGUGGCGAGUGGCGGACGGGUGAGGAAUACAUCGGAAUCUACUUUUUCGUGGGGGAUAACGUAGGGAAACUUACGCUAAUACCGCAUACGACCUACGGGUGAAAGCAGGGGAUCUUCGGACCUUGCGCGAUUGAAUGAGCCGAUGUCGGAUUAGCUAGUUGGCGGGGUAAAGGCCCACCAAGGCGACGAUCCGUAGCUGGUCUGAGAGGAUGAACAGCCACACUGGAACUUGAACACCGUCCAGACUCCUACGGGGAGCAGCAGUGGGGAAUAUUUGACAAUGGGCGGAAGCCUGAUCCAGCCAUACCGCGUGGGUGAAGAAGGCCUUCGGGUUGUAAAGCCCUUUUGUUGGGAAAGAAAAGCAGCAGGUUAAUACCCCGCUGUUCUGACGGUACCCAAAGAAUAAGCACCGGCUAACUUCGUG
This 492-nucleotide ribosomal RNA is filed under the name uncultured bacterium. RNAcentral's name for it is "partial 16S ribosomal RNA". It matches the Rfam family "Bacterial small subunit ribosomal RNA", at positions 29 to 507 of the family's 1533-position model. The record is from RNAcentral.